RNAcentral lists this ribosomal RNA (137 nucleotides) under Erinaceus europaeus (western European hedgehog). The record is from RNAcentral. Lineage: Eukaryota; Metazoa; Chordata; Mammalia; Eulipotyphla; Erinaceidae.
AUCUAUGGUCAUACCACUGUGAACAUGCCCAAUGUCGUCUGAUCUCAGAAGCUAAGUAAGGUGGGGCCUGGUUAGUAUUUGGAUGGGAAUAAGAGGAGUACAUUUCCACACAAUGCCCAUCCCCAGAGCUCUAUAUC